AACGAACGCUGGCGGCAUGCCUAACACAUGCAAGUCGAACGGGAUCCUAGCUUGCUAGGUGAGAGUGGCGGACGGGUGAGUAACACGUGGGAAUCUGCCUUUUGGUUCGGGAUAACCGCGGGAAACUGCGGCUAAUACCGAAUGCCCUCGAGAGAGGAAAGAUUUAUCGCCAGAAGAGGAGCCCGCGUCCGAUUAGGUAGUUGGUGGGGUAAAGGCCUACCAAGCCGACGAUCGGUAGCUGGUCUGAGAGGAUGAUCAGCCACACUGGGACUGAGAUACGGCCCAGACUCCUACGGGAGCAGCAGUGGGAAUA
This 313-nucleotide ribosomal RNA is filed under the name uncultured bacterium. RNAcentral describes it as "bacterial SSU rRNA". It matches the Rfam family "Bacterial small subunit ribosomal RNA", at positions 29 to 363 of the family's 1533-position model. The record is from RNAcentral.